GGGUGGCUAGCUCAAUGGAUAGAGCAACCGGCUUUUAACCGGUAGGCUGUGGGUUCGAGUCCCACGCCACCCACCA
Molecule: transfer RNA, 76 nt
Filed under: Pseudomonas sp. FeN3W
Lineage: Bacteria; Pseudomonadati; Pseudomonadota; Gammaproteobacteria; Pseudomonadales; Pseudomonadaceae
Description: tRNA-Lys
Rfam family: tRNA
About the family: Transfer RNA (tRNA) molecules are approximately 80 nucleotides in length.
Source: RNAcentral